Molecule: non-coding RNA, 98 nt
Organism: Spinacia oleracea (spinach)
Lineage: Eukaryota; Viridiplantae; Streptophyta; Magnoliopsida; Caryophyllales; Amaranthaceae
Source: Rfam
AUGGAAAUGAUGAUUAUUUCCCCAGAUGAACGAAGUUGAAAUCGCUGAGCGUUUUUAUUUCUCAUUUUAUGAGAAGUCAAGCCAGAUUUCUGAUCCGU